This 2933-nucleotide ribosomal RNA is filed under the name Escherichia coli. RNAcentral describes it as "23S ribosomal RNA". It matches the Rfam family "Bacterial large subunit ribosomal RNA". Lineage: Bacteria; Pseudomonadati; Pseudomonadota; Gammaproteobacteria; Enterobacterales; Enterobacteriaceae. The record is from RNAcentral.
GGGUUGUGAGGUUAAGCGACUAAGCGUACACGGUGGAUGCCCUGGCAGUCAGAGGCGAUGAAGGACGUGCUAAUCUGCGAUAAGCGUCGGUAAGGUGAUAUGAACCGUUAUAACCGGCGAUUUCCGAAUGGGGAAACCCAGUGUGAUUCGUCACACUAUCAUUAACUGAAUCCAUAGGUUAAUGAGGCGAACCGGGGGAACUGAAACAUCUAAGUACCCCGAGGAAAAGAAAUCAACCGAGAUUCCCCCAGUAGCGGCGAGCGAACGGGGAGCAGCCCAGAGCCUGAAUCAGUGUGUGUGUUAGUGGAAGCGUCUGGAAAGGCGCGCGAUACAGGGUGACAGCCCCGUACACAAAAAUGCACAUACUGUGAGCUCGAUGAGUAGGGCGGGACACGUGGUAUCCUGUCUGAAUAUGGGGGGACCAUCCUCCAAGGCUAAAUACUCCUGACUGACCGAUAGUGAACCAGUACCGUGAGGGAAAGGCGAAAAGAACCCCGGCGAGGGGAGUGAAAAAGAACCUGAAACCGUGUACGUACAAGCAGUGGGAGCACAGAGCAAUCUGUGUGACUGCGUACCUUUUGUAUAAUGGGUCAGCGACUUAUAUUCUGUAGCAAGGUUAACCGAAUAGGGGAGCCGAAGGGAAACCGAGUCUUAACUGGGCGUUAAGUUGCAGGGUAUAGACCCGAAACCCGGUGAUCUAGCCAUGGGCAGGUUGAAGGUUGGGUAACACUAACUGGAGGACCGAACCGACUAAUGUUGAAAAAUUAGCGGAUGACUUGUGGCUGGGGGUGAAAGGCCAAUCAAACCGGGAGAUAGCUGGUUCUCCCCGAAAGCUAUUUAGGUAGCGCCUCGUGAAUUCAUCUCCGGGGGUAGAGCACUGUUUCGGCAAGGGGGUCAUCCCGACUUACCAACCCGAUGCAAACUGCGAAUACCGGAGAAUGUUAUCACGGGAGACACACGGCGGGUGCUAACGUCCGUCGUGAAGAGGGAAACAACCCAGACCGCCAGCUAAGGUCCCAAAGUCAUGGUUAAGUGGGAAACGAUGUGGGAAGGCCCAGACAGCCAGGAUGUUGGCUUAGAAGCAGCCAUCAUUUAAAGAAAGCGUAAUAGCUCACUGGUCGAGUCGGCCUGCGCGGAAGAUGUAACGGGGCUAAACCAUGCACCGAAGCUGCGGCAGCGACGCUUAUGCGUUGUUGGGUAGGGGAGCGUUCUGUAAGCCUGUGAAGGUGUACUGUGAGGUAUGCUGGAGGUAUCAGAAGUGCGAAUGCUGACAUAAGUAACGAUAAAGCGGGUGAAAAGCCCGCUCGCCGGAAGACCAAGGGUUCCUGUCCAACGUUAAUCGGGGCAGGGUGAGUCGACCCCUAAGGCGAGGCCGAAAGGCGUAGUCGAUGGGAAACAGGUUAAUAUUCCUGUACUUGGUGUUACUGCGAAGGGGGGACGGAGAAGGCUAUGUUGGCCGGGCGACGGUUGUCCCGGUUUAAGCGUGUAGGCUGGUUUUCCAGGCAAAUCCGGAAAAUCAAGGCUGAGGCGUGAUGACGAGGCACUACGGUGCUGAAGCAACAAAUGCCCUGCUUCCAGGAAAAGCCUCUAAGCAUCAGGUAACAUCAAAUCGUACCCCAAACCGACACAGGUGGUCAGGUAGAGAAUACCAAGGCGCUUGAGAGAACUCGGGUGAAGGAACUAGGCAAAAUGGUGCCGUAACUUCGGGAGAAGGCACGCUGAUAUGUAGGUGAAGCGACUUGCUCGUGGAGCUGAAAUCAGUCGAAGAUACCAGCUGGCUGCAACUGUUUAUUAAAAACACAGCACUGUGCAAACACGAAAGUGGACGUAUACGGUGUGACGCCUGCCCGGUGCCGGAAGGUUAAUUGAUGGGGUCAGCGCAAGCGAAGCUCUUGAUCGAAGCCCCGGUAAACGGCGGCCGUAACUAUAACGGUCCUAAGGUAGCGAAAUUCCUUGUCGGGUAAGUUCCGACCUGCACGAAUGGCGUAAUGAUGGCCAGGCUGUCUCCACCCGAGACUCAGUGAAAUUGAACUCGCUGUGAAGAUGCAGUGUACCCGCGGCAAGACGGAAAGACCCCGUGAACCUUUACUAUAGCUUGACACUGAACAUUGAGCCUUGAUGUGUAGGAUAGGUGGGAGGCUUUGAAGUGUGGACGCCAGUCUGCAUGGAGCCGACCUUGAAAUACCACCCUUUAAUGUUUGAUGUUCUAACGUUGACCCGUAAUCCGGGUUGCGGACAGUGUCUGGUGGGUAGUUUGACUGGGGCGGUCUCCUCCUAAAGAGUAACGGAGGAGCACGAAGGUUGGCUAAUCCUGGUCGGACAUCAGGAGGUUAGUGCAAUGGCAUAAGCCAGCUUGACUGCGAGCGUGACGGCGCGAGCAGGUGCGAAAGCAGGUCAUAGUGAUCCGGUGGUUCUGAAUGGAAGGGCCAUCGCUCAACGGAUAAAAGGUACUCCGGGGAUAACAGGCUGAUACCGCCCAAGAGUUCAUAUCGACGGCGGUGUUUGGCACCUCGAUGUCGGCUCAUCACAUCCUGGGGCUGAAGUAGGUCCCAAGGGUAUGGCUGUUCGCCAUUUAAAGUGGUACGCGAGCUGGGUUUAGAACGUCGUGAGACAGUUCGGUCCCUAUCUGCCGUGGGCGCUGGAGAACUGAGGGGGGCUGCUCCUAGUACGAGAGGACCGGAGUGGACGCAUCACUGGUGUUCGGGUUGUCAUGCCAAUGGCACUGCCCGGUAGCUAAAUGCGGAAGAGAUAAGUGCUGAAAGCAUCUAAGCACGAAACUUGCCCCGAGAUGAGUUCUCCCUGACUCCUUGAGAGUCCUGAAGGAACGUUGAAGACGACGACGUUGAUAGGCCGGAUGUGUAAGCGCAGCGAUGCGUUGAGCUAACCGGUACUAAUGAACCGUGAGGCUUAACCUUACAACGCCGAAGGUGUUU